ACACGGACCAAGGAGUGCAACAUGCCCGCGAGUCUUGGAGUGCAAAACUCAGCGGCGCAAUGAAAGUGAAGGCAGGCUUGCCCUGCCGAGGCGAGAGCCUUCUUCGGGAGGUGCAUCGUCGACCGAUCCCAGGUCACGCUGUGGCGGGAUUUGAGUGAGAGCGUGCCUGUUGCGACCCGAAAGAUGGUGAACUAUGCCUGAAUAGGGUGAAGCCAGAGGAAACUCUGGUGGAAGCUCGUAGCGAUUCUGACGUGCAAAUCGAUCGUCUAAUUUGGGUAUAGGGGCGAAAGACUAAUCGAACCAUCUAGUAGCUGGUUCCCUCCGAAGUUUCCCUCAGGAUAGCUGGUGCCCGGUGCAGUUUUAUCAGGUAAAGCGAAUGAUUAGAGGUCUUGGGGUUGAAACAACUUCAACCUAUUCUCAAACUUUAAAUGGGUAAGACGCCCGUCUUUCUUAGCUGAAGUCGGGCAUUGAAUGCCGGGGCUCCUAGUGGGCCAUUUUUGGUAAGCAGAACUGGCGAUGUGGGAUGAACCAAAAGCCGGGUUAAGGUGCCCGAAUCGACGCUCAUCAGACACCAUGAAAGGUGUUGGUUGAUCUAGACAGCAGGACGGUGGCCAUGGAAGUCGGAAUCCGCUAAGGAGUGUGUAACAACU
Molecule: ribosomal RNA, 650 nt
Filed under: Ulosa stuposa
Lineage: Eukaryota; Metazoa; Porifera; Demospongiae; Bubarida; Dictyonellidae
Description: eukaryotic LSU rRNA
Rfam family: Eukaryotic large subunit ribosomal RNA
Source: RNAcentral